This 395-nucleotide ribosomal RNA is filed under the name uncultured bacterium. RNAcentral's name for it is "partial 16S ribosomal RNA". It matches the Rfam family "Bacterial small subunit ribosomal RNA", at positions 523 to 918 of the family's 1533-position model. The record is from RNAcentral.
AUACGUAGGGUGCAAGCGUUAAUCGGAAUUACUGGGCGUAAAGCGUGCGCAGGCGGUUUUGUAAGACAGAAGUGAAAUCCCCGGGCUCAACCUGGGGACUGCCUUUGUGACUGCCAGGCUAGAGUAUGGCAGAGGGGGGUGGAAUUCCGCGGUGAGCAGUGAAAAGCGUAGAUAUGCGGAGGAACACCGAUGGCGAAGGCAAUCCCCUGGGCCUGUACUGACGCUCAUGCACGAAAGCGUGGGGAGCAAACAGGAUUAGAUACCCUGGUAGUCCACGCCCUAAACGAUGUCAACUGGUUGUUGGGUCUUCAUUGACUCAGUAACGAAGCUAACGCGUGAAGUUGACCGCCUGGGGAGUACGGCCGCAAGGUUGAAACUCAAAUGAAUUGACGGGG